UAUGUGUUUGUUCUGGGUAAAUAGAGUUUCUAGCAUUUAUGUUAGUUACUUGUUCCCCGGAUAUUUUAGUUACGUAGCCAAUUGUGGAACUUUCUUGCUAAAAUUUUACUGUACGGAUUAAACCAAUUAGUUCUUAUUAAUUAUAACGAUUAUCAAUUAACAAUCAAUUUAGAACUGGCACACACUUGGGGAAUCCGACUGUCUAAUUAAAACAAAGCAUUGUGAUGGCCCUAGCUUGUGUUGACACAAUGUGAUUUCUGCCCAGUGUUCUGAAUGUCAAAGUGAAGAAAUUCAAGUAAGCGCGGGUCAAUGGAGAGAGUAACUAAGACUCCUCUUAUCACAUGCAGAUAUAUAUGACACCUUAUGUGCUUAUGGUGCGCUAAAAGGCUUCGUCGACUAC
This is a ribosomal RNA of Drosophila melanogaster (fruit fly), 400 nucleotides long. It matches the Rfam family "Eukaryotic large subunit ribosomal RNA", at positions 1925 to 2339 of the family's 3401-position model. The record is from Rfam. NCBI's taxonomy places the organism in Eukaryota, Metazoa, Arthropoda, Insecta, Diptera, Drosophilidae.